RNAcentral lists this ribosomal RNA (497 nucleotides) under uncultured bacterium. Its description in RNAcentral is "partial 16S ribosomal RNA". It matches the Rfam family "Bacterial small subunit ribosomal RNA", at positions 28 to 507 of the family's 1533-position model. The record is from RNAcentral.
GAUGAACGCUGGCGGCGUGCCUAACACAUGCAAGUCGAGCGGAAGGACGAGGAUCUUGCUUCUUUCUCGUUAGCGGAGGAGGGGAGUGUAACAUGUGUAAACCCCACCUAUAUGUCUGGGAACACUUGGGGAAACCGGCGAUUAACCCGGAUAAUCUUCUGAAGCGUAGGGUGGAAUAGUAAAAGACGGCGUUUCGGGCUCUACUCGAUGGUUCUGCGCUGGAUUAGCUAGUUGGUAAGGUAACGGCUUACCAAGGCAACGAUGCAUAGCAGAAUUGACAGGGUGAUCGGCCACACUGGAACUUAGACACGGUCUAGACUCCUACGGGAGGCAGCAGUAGGGAAUCUUCCGCAAUGGGCGAAAGCCUGACGGAGCAACGCCGCGUGAGUGAUGAAGGUCUUCGGAUCGUAAAACUCUGUUAUUAGGGAAGAACAGAUGUGUAAGUAACUGUGCACAUCUUGACGGUACCUAAUCAGAAAGCCACGGCUAACUACGUG